UUAAGUUAUUAAGGGCGCACGGUGGAUGCCUUGGCACUAGAAGCCGAUGAAGGACGUUACUAACGACGAUAUGCUUUGGGGAGCUGUAAGUAAGCUUUGAUCCAGAGAUUUCCGAAUGGGGAAACCCAGCAUGAGUUAUGUCAUGUUAUCGAUAUGUGAAUACAUAGCAUAUCAGAAGGCACACCCGGAGAACUGAAACAUCUUAGUACCCGGAGGAAGAGAAAGAAAAUUCGAUUCCCUUAGUAGCGGCGAGCGAAAUGGGAAGAGCCCAAACCAACAAGCUUGCUUGUUGGGGUUGUAGGACACUCUAUACGGAGUUACAAAGGACGACAUUAGACGAAUCAUCUGGAAAGAUGAAUCAAAGAAGGUAAUAAUCCUGUAGUCGAAAAUGUUGUCUCUCUUGAGUGGAUCCUGAGUACGACGGAGCACGUGAAAUUCCGUCGGAAUCUGGGAGGACCAUCUCCUAAGGCUAAAUACUCUCUAGUGACCGAUAGUGAACCAGUACCGUGAGGGAAAGGUGAAAAGCACCCCGGAAGGGGAGUGAAAUAGAACCUGAAACCGUGUGCUUACAAGUAGUCAGAGCCCGUUAAUGGGUGAUGGCGUGCCUUUUGUAGAAUGAACCGGCGAGUUACGAUUUGAUGCAAGGUUAAGCAGUAAAUGUGGAGCCGUAGCGAAAGCGAGUCUGAAUAGGGCGUUUAGUAUUUGGUCGUAGACCCGAAACCAGGUGAUCUACCCUUGGUCAGGUUGAAGUUCAGGUAACACUGAAUGGAGGACCGAACCGACUUACGUUGAAAAGUGAGCGGAUGAACUGAGGGUAGCGGAGAAAUUCCAAUCGAACCUGGAGAUAGCUGGUUCUCUCCGAAAUAGCUUUAGGGCUAGCCUCAAGUGAUGAUUAUUGGAGGUAGAGCACUGUUUGGACGAGGGGCCCCUCUCGGGUUACCGAAUUCAGACAAACUCCGAAUGCCAAUUAAUUUAACUUGGGAGUCAGAACAUGGGUGAUAAGGUCCGUGUUCGAAAGGGAAACAGCCCAGACCACCAGCUAAGGUCCCAAAAUAUAUGUUAAGUGAAAAAGGAUGUGGCGUUGCCCAGACAACUAGGAUGUUGGCUUAGAAGCAGCCAUCAUUUAAAGAGUGCGUAAUAGCUCACUAGUCGAGUGACACUGCGCCGAAAAUGUACCGGGGCUAAACAUAUUACCGAAGCUGUGGAUUGUCCUUUGGACAAUGGUAGGAGAGCGUUCUAAGGGCGUUGAAGCAUGAUCGUAAGGACAUGUGGAGCGCUUAGAAGUGAGAAUGCCGGUGUGAGUAGCGAAAGACGGGUGAGAAUCCCGUCCACCGAUUGACUAAGGUUUCCAGAGGAAGGCUCGUCCGCUCUGGGUUAGUCGGGUCCUAAGCUGAGGCCGACAGGCGUAGGCGAUGGAUAACAGGUUGAUAUUCCUGUACCACCUAUAAUCGUUUUAAUCGAUGGGGGGACGCAGUAGGAUAGGCGAAGCGUGCGAUUGGAUUGCACGUCUAAGCAGUAAGGCUGAGUAUUAGGCAAAUCCGGUACUCGUUAAGGCUGAGCUGUGAUGGGGAGAAGACAUUGUGUCUUCGAGUCGUUGAUUUCACACUGCCGAGAAAAGCCUCUAGAUAGAAAAUAGGUGCCCGUACCGCAAACCGACACAGGUAGUCAAGAUGAGAAUUCUAAGGUGAGCGAGCGAACUCUCGUUAAGGAACUCGGCAAAAUGACCCCGUAACUUCGGGAGAAGGGGUGCUCUUUAGGGUUAACGCCCAGAAGAGCCGCAGUGAAUAGGCCCAAGCGACUGUUUAUCAAAAACACAGGUCUCUGCUAAACCGUAAGGUGAUGUAUAGGGGCUGACGCCUGCCCGGUGCUGGAAGGUUAAGAGGAGUGGUUAGCUUCUGCGAAGCUACGAAUCGAAGCCCCAGUAAACGGCGGCCGUAACUAUAACGGUCCUAAGGUAGCGAAAUUCCUUGUCGGGUAAGUUCCGACCCGCACGAAAGGCGUAACGAUUUGGGCACUGUCUCAACGAGAGACUCGGUGAAAUCAUAGUACCUGUGAAGAUGCAGGUUACCCGCGACAGGACGGAAAGACCCCGUGGAGCUUUACUGUAGCCUGAUAUUGAAAUUCGGCACAGCUUGUACAGGAUAGGUAGGAGCCUUUGAAACGUGAGCGCUAGCUUACGUGGAGGCGCUGGUGGGAUACUACCCUAGCUGUGUUGGCUUUCUAACCCGCACCACUUAUCGUGGUGGGAGACAGUGUCAGGCGGGCAGUUUGACUGGGGCGGUCGCCUCCUAAAAGGUAACGGAGGCGCUCAAAGGUUCCCUCAGAAUGGUUGGAAAUCAUUCAUAGAGUGUAAAGGCAUAAGGGAGCUUGACUGCGAGACCUACAAGUCGAGCAGGGUCGAAAGACGGACUUAGUGAUCCGGUGGUUCCGCAUGGAAGGGCCAUCGCUCAACGGAUAAAAGCUACCCCGGGGAUAACAGGCUUAUCUCCCCCAAGAGUUCACAUCGACGGGGAGGUUUGGCACCUCGAUGUCGGCUCAUCGCAUCCUGGGGCUGUAGUCGGUCCCAAGGGUUGGGCUGUUCGCCCAUUAAAGCGGUACGCGAGCUGGGUUCAGAACGUCGUGAGACAGUUCGGUCCCUAUCCGUCGUGGGCGUAGGAAAUUUGAGAGGAGCUGUCCUUAGUACGAGAGGACCGGGAUGGACAUACCUCUGGUGUACCAGUUGUCGUGCCAACGGCAUAGCUGGGUAGCUAUGUGUGGACGGGAUAAGUGCUGAAAGCAUCUAAGCAUGAAGCCCCCCUCAAGAUGAGAUUUCCCAACUUCGGUUAUAAGAUCCCUCAAAGAUGAUGAGGUUAAUAGGUUCGAGGUGGAAGCAUGGUGACAUGUGGAGCUGACGAAUACUAAUCGAUCGAAGACUUAAUCAA
This 2921-nucleotide ribosomal RNA is filed under the name Staphylococcus aureus T45940. RNAcentral's name for it is "bacterial LSU rRNA". It matches the Rfam family "Bacterial large subunit ribosomal RNA". The record is from RNAcentral. Lineage: Bacteria; Bacillati; Bacillota; Bacilli; Caryophanales; Staphylococcaceae.